Molecule: ribosomal RNA, 502 nt
Filed under: uncultured bacterium
Lineage: Bacteria
Description: bacterial SSU rRNA
Rfam family: Bacterial small subunit ribosomal RNA
Source: RNAcentral
AGAGUUUGAUCUGGCUCAGAAUCAACACUGGCGGCGUGCCUAACACAUGCAAGUCGAACGCGAAAGUCCCGCAAGGGAUUAGUAGAGUGGCAAACGGGUGAGUAACACGUGGGUGACCUGCCUUCGAGCGGGGGAUAACGUCCCGAAAGGGACGCUAAUACCGCAUAAUAUGCCGCCUUUUAACAGGUGGACAUCAAAGCUGGGGAUCGCAAGACCUAGCACUUGAAGAGGGGCCCGCGCCUGAUUAGCUAGUUGGUGGGGUAAUGGCUCACCAAGGCAACGAUCAGUAUCCGGCCUGAGAGGGCGGACGGACACACUGGGACUGAGACACGGCCCAGACUCCUACGGGAGGCAGCAGUGGGGAAUUGUUCGCAAUGGGCGCAAGCCUGACGACGCAACGCCGCGUGGAGGAUGAAGACCUUCGGGUCGUAAACUCCUUUCGAUCGAGACGAAUGGCCUCCGGGUGAAUACUCCGGAGGAGUGACGGUACCGAGAGAAGAAG